Molecule: ribosomal RNA, 468 nt
Filed under: uncultured bacterium
Lineage: Bacteria
Description: partial 16S ribosomal RNA
Rfam family: Bacterial small subunit ribosomal RNA
Source: RNAcentral
GACGAACGCUGGCGGCGUGCUUAACACAUGCAAGUCGAACGGAAAGGCCCUGCUUUUGUGGGGUGCUCGAGUGGCGAACGGGUGAGUAACACGUGAGUAACCUGCCCUUGACUUUGGGAUAACUUCAGGAAACUGGGGCUAAUACCGGAUAGGAUCUCCUGCUGCAUGGUGGGGGUUGGAAAGUUUCGGCGGUUGGGGAUGGACUCGCGGCUUAUCAGCUUGUUGGUGGGGUAGUGGCUUACCAAGGCUGUGACGGGUAGCCGGCCUGAGAGGGUGAACGGCCACAUUGGGACUGAGGUACGGCCCAGAGUCGUACGGGAGGCAGAAGUGGGGAAUAUUGCACAAUGGGCGGAAGCCUGAUGCAGCAACGCCGCGUGCGGGAUGACGGCCUUCGGGUUGUAAACCGCUUUCGCCUGUGACGAAGCGUGAGUGACGGUAAUGGGUAAAGAAGCACCGGCUAACUACGUG